This 254-nucleotide ribosomal RNA is filed under the name uncultured bacterium. Its description in RNAcentral is "partial 16S ribosomal RNA". It matches the Rfam family "Bacterial small subunit ribosomal RNA", at positions 524 to 776 of the family's 1533-position model. The record is from RNAcentral.
UACGGGGGGGGGCAAGCGUUGUUCGGAAUUACUGGGCGUAAAGGGCUCGUAGGCGGCCAACUAAGUCGGAUGUGAAAUCCCCAGGCUUAACCUGGGAACUGCAUCCGAUACUGGAUGGCUUGAAUCCGGGAGAGGGAUGCAGAAUUCCAGGUGUAGCGGUGAAAUGCGUAGAUAUCCGGAAGAACACCGGUGGCGAAGGCGGCCUGCUGGGCAGUUGCUGACGCUGAGGCGCGACAGCGUGGGGAGCAAACAGG